GAAAACCACCCCGAUGAGGGGAGUGAAACAGUACCUGAAACCGGAUGCUUACAAGCUGAGGGAGCUCUUCGGAGUGACCUCGUACCUUUUGUAUAAUGGGUCAACGACUUAGUGUUGUAUGCAAGCUUAAACCGUUAGGUGUAGGCGCAGCGAAAGCGAGUCUGAAUAGGGCGACCGAGUAUGCAGCAUUAGACCCGAAGGCAAGUGAUCUAGGUAUGGGCAGGGUGAAGGUGCAGUAACAUGCACUGGAGGCCCGAACCGUUGAGCGUUGAAAAGCUCUCGGAUGACCUGUGCCUAGGGGUGAAAGGCCAAUCAAACUUGCUGAUAGCUGGUUCUCCGCGAAAUCUAUUUAGGUAGAGCGUCAUCCGAAUACCCCGGGGGGUAGAGCACUGGAUGGGUAAUGGGGCCCCACAGGCUUACUGAUCCUAACCAAACUCCGAAUACCCGGGAGUACUAGAUGGCAGACACACUGCGGAUGCUAACGUCCGUCGUGGAGAGGGAAACAACCCUGACCUACAGCUAAGGCCCCCAAUUCAUGGCUAAGUGGGAAAGCAGGUGGGACGACCAAAACAACCAGGAUGUUGGCUUAGAAGCAGCCAUCAUUUAAAGAAAGCGUAAUAGCUCACUGGUCGAGUCGGUCCGCGCGGAAGAUGUAACGGGGCUAAGCGAUGUACCGAAGCUGCGGGUGCAUAGCAAUAUGCGCGGUAGAGGAGCGUUCCGUAAGCCUGCGAAGGUGACUCGUAAGGGUUGCUGGAGGUAUCGGAAGUGCGAAUGCUGACAUGAGUAACGAUAAUGCAGGUGA
Molecule: ribosomal RNA, 802 nt
Filed under: Ochromonas sp. CCMP1393
Lineage: Eukaryota; Chrysophyceae; Chromulinales; Chromulinaceae
Description: partial Bacterial large subunit ribosomal RNA
Rfam family: Bacterial large subunit ribosomal RNA
Source: RNAcentral